GUUACCAUGGAGACGGUGAGGCUCCGGGGCCUAGCUGGCGCCGGUCUGCCUCGUCCAGCCUGCACUGCGCUCCCCUGGCCUGGAGGUCCUGUUGGGGGGCAUCCUCGUCCCCCCGACCCAGACCGCCCCCACCCCCGUGCAUGGGGCAGCAUCACAGUGACUUCACACCUCAUGACAUCACAGUCCCACGGGGUGACAUCACAGAACGACAGGGAGACACCAAGCGGCUGGGUGGCAUCAUCUCUGUACAACCCUGCACCGUGCAGCAAGACAUACCCCCGGCGCAGGUAGGAAAAAAGCUCUCUGCACCCACAAGCAACGGCAGACCUUCUAUUCAGCUCAGACACCAGCGGCACUAAGAGAUACCUGAGAGGGCACCGUGGGCAUUAGCAUGCAAAUCAGCUCAGCAAGCGCUGGAUUCCUGCCACAGAACAACGCACCUGUGAAACUCAGCAGAAAACAAGGAGGGAGACGAAUGUGUGGCAGCCGACACUUGGAAAUGAACUGGAGACCUCUAGAACUGAAUAUAUUAGCUCAAGCUGUUAGAGACUCGAGAACCAGGCACUCUGGGAUGUAAGAUUCACAUCUGUGAAACAGGACCAGCGGGGAGAUGUCUAACAUGCUGACCAGUGGGUUACACAUAUACUCCUGGGCAAAAACUACUGAUGGCUGCUGGAUGCUGCUAUUGCUCAUUGGCAGAGCCAGCUUGGACAAUCCCUGCAGGAAGCACAAGUGCAGCAAGUUUGCAAAUGGGACUCAGAAGUUAGCCCGAGGCACAAAACCCUGGAUUGAAAUAAGCAGCCAACAACACCUCUGGAAAAGGGCUUAGCUAUAAGGAAGCUCUGGUUCAGAGCUGGCUAUUAGGUUAUUGUGGGCCACAUUCUUGAUGCUGUUUAUAGUUAUUUAGAGUAACACCUUUGCUGUGUGUCUUUCUUUGGGAUAUUUUUCGGUCCUUUCUUUCACCAACGUAGGGAGGAAACAUAAAUUCUAUUUCUUGUACCUCAUUGGGAGGGGAGCACUUUUUUUCUUUAUAAGCCAGCCCAGCCGCUUGGUCUCUGUGCCAGGUCAAAGCCAAAAUGUUUGCACCUGGGACACUUGUUACAUUGAGGACUGAACUGGGAAGCUGUGGAGCUCAAGGCAUGAGCUGUUGUGGGAGUCUUCCAUUGACCUGCUGUAUGACCUUGGGCACCCUUUGUCCUGUCUAUUUAGAUUGUAAGUCUUUGGAGGCCAGGACUCACCAUGUGUCUGGGCAGCACCCAGCACAAUGGGACCGGGCUCUCAGCAUCGUUACUGUAAGACAAAUAAUACUCUCCUGCUCAACUGCCCCCAGAUCCCUACAGAAAACAGCCCCCUUCCUGGUCCAAACACUUGUCUAGAGUUCAUGUUCAUUCUCUGCUUCUCUCCGCAGUAUCCCCAUGGCUGGACAAAGAUCAGGGGGCGGGGGAGACUCUCUCUCAGCAGCCUGUGAGUCAGAAAGUCCAUUAGAGUCCCCAUGUCAGAAAUCCAUACUUGAUUAUAUCACAACACGUGAAACCGAGAAAAAUGACAGCCCCAUUUAAAGCUGCCAUAUUUGGUUACGUGUGAUAGGAAAGACACACAGCCCGGUGGUCGGAUGGGGGCGGGCGGAGGAAGGAUUUGGAACUGAGGUUAAACAGAAAAUAAAAGACAAUGUCAUUAAGCUGUGGGUGGGGGGAGCUGAGAUGUGGAGCCAACUCCUCGGCAGGACAUUUAUUUGUAGUUAUUUGUUAGGAACUCUCUGAUUGGAGCCGUGGAUUAACAUACGUCAGCUGCAGUUCUCCGUGUGCGAGGAAUGGGAAAGGAGAAGAGCAGGUGGGGAUCUGGAGUUGCCUUCGUCUGCUCUGCAAACGGAAUCCUUGAAGGAAAACUACAACGAUUAGCUAUCAUGCCUUCCCCCGCUAAAUAAAUAUUUACUGGUUUAAUUCGUUAAUUGCCACACUGCUCUUAUGCACUACCUUCCUGCAAAGUGGGAAACCCUACCCACUCCGAGGAGGCGGGAGAGGGACCUAAUGCAGGGCACCUGGGGUGACUCUGCUGCUGCUUGAGCAGUGGUGCUGCGGUGGAGAGGGUUUGUGGCGGCUGAAGCUACGGAAUCCAUCUCUGGGGGUUGAGGGUGCUCCCUGCACAGCAGGGUUUGGAAGGAUAGCGAGUGGGGGGGGAAGAGGUAUGCGGAUGGGAUCUGCUGCUAAACAGAUCCACCAGUGAUUGCUCACCACUUCCCCCAGGCAGCUGUGGCACAGGAAAUACUGCAACCGCGGUGGUUCACCAUUGAGUGGUGUUUGUGCAGGGUGUCUGUUGAAGACAGACAGCUGGUCUGAUUAAGCGUGACAAUUCCUAUGUGCUGAUGCUGGCUAUUCUGUGCACUGAUGCUUGAUGAGAUAGCUGAGGAUUUAGCCCUGAGUAACAGACCCACGGCACAACAAUAUUUGCAAAACACUUCUUAGACCUGCAGCAGUUUCAAAUGUUCGUCUAGAUUCAGGGGCAGCAACAGUUAACGCCGCACCCUUAGAGGGCGUUACCUCCCCAAAGCCCUGCACUAAUAUCCUUGCCACUGUUAGGAUAUAGAUAUUCAGGCCUGUCUGCAAAGGCUUAUACUUUAAGAAUUGAGGUGCAUUCUUAUCACUUAGGUAGUUAUAGAGGUAUAGAAGAAAGAAUAAAAAAUCACUGUCUGUCUGUGUAAGGGCCUUCUCUUACUGUGACAGUCUGAGGCCUGGUUCUUUGGCUAAGCAGCAGAGGCAGCCAUAAACUGGG
This is a long non-coding RNA of Mauremys mutica (yellowpond turtle), 2769 nucleotides long. RefSeq lists it as uncharacterized. The transcript has 3 exons. The record is from RefSeq and is a predicted model, not a curated record. NCBI's taxonomy places the organism in Eukaryota, Metazoa, Chordata, Testudines, Geoemydidae.